Molecule: ribosomal RNA, 495 nt
Filed under: Peromyscopsylla silvatica
Lineage: Eukaryota; Metazoa; Arthropoda; Insecta; Siphonaptera; Leptopsyllidae
Description: SSU rRNA
Rfam family: Eukaryotic small subunit ribosomal RNA
Source: RNAcentral
UCAAGAACGAAAGUUAGAGGUUCGAAGGCGAUCAGAUACCGCCCUAGUUCUAACCAUAAACGAUGCCAGCUAGCGAUCCGCCGAAGUUCCUCCGAUGACUCGGCGGGCAGCUUCCGGGAAACCAAAGCUUUUGGGUUCCGGGGGAAGUAUGGUUGCAAAGCUGAAACUUAAAGGAAUUGACGGAAGGGCACCACCAGGAGUGGAGCCUGCGGCUUAAUUUGACUCAACACGGGACACCUCACCAGGCCCAGACACCGGAAGGAUUGACAGAUUGAGAGCUCUUUCUUGAUUCGGUGGUAGGUGGUGCAUGGCCGUUCUUAGUUGGUGGAGCGAUUUGUCUGGUUAAUUCUGAUAACGAGCGAGACUCUAGCCUGCUAAAUAGGCGUACUUUCCGGUAUCUCGAAGGCCCGCCGGUCGGCUUCGGUCCGUGUGUGGUUUUUACUACCGGCGUACAUAUAUAUCUUCUUAGAGGGACAGGUGGCAUUUAGUCGCAUG